This 663-nucleotide long non-coding RNA is filed under the name Sarcophilus harrisii (Tasmanian devil). Its description in RNAcentral is "lncRNA (ENSSHAG00000024953.1)". Lineage: Eukaryota; Metazoa; Chordata; Mammalia; Dasyuromorphia; Dasyuridae. The record is from RNAcentral.
GCCGCGGGGGCUCCCAUCCCAUCCGCCGCGGGCAGCCCGGCUCCAAGUGCCGCGUUAAUUACCAGCAACUCCCCCUGGGGAGAGCCAAAGCCAACUGGGGUCACCAUGGAAACCCAGACGGCUGCAGUGUGGCCAGAUUGUUAACGGGCUCCCGGCGAGCUCAGCCAAUUUCCUUUCUGGGGAAGCGGAGGAGGAGCGGGCCGGGGUCUUGCACCGCCGCGUGGGACUGGGAAGGCCCAGAAGGGGGGACGGCGGUUUUCCUGAAGCCGCUCUCCCUGGCUCUUCGGCCGUUCUCUCUCCGGCCUGUUGGGGAACACGGCGGUCUCCAGAGAAACAUUCUGGGUGUGCCAAAGGGCGACGCCAGGCAGCAGCAACAUGUGGAGCCAUAUGAAAAAACUGAGGCUGAGAAGCAGUAAAUAGCCUGCCCAAGGUCACACGGAGGAAAAAAAUGCCAGAGCUAUGACCCACACUGGAUCUGUAUAUCCAUCGCUUUUCCACGGGAUCCCUCUGCCUCCCCAGGGCAGUUGAAGGGUUAAGUAGCCCGGUGCAGGAGCAUUCUGCUUAUUAAACCCAUCCAUCAGCAGACCCAAGUAACCUCAUUCUGUCCUGCUAAGCAAGCGAGCUAGGCAGGUCAGCCAUGGACAGCCCGCAGGAGGAAUGGGG